UUCGAAGACGAGGGUACGUGUAGUGUUUUUUAUUUUUAAUUUUAUUAUUUUUUAUUCAUGUGAUGACCUUUUGCCCCCGUUUGGCCCCCAUUUUUUCAAAUUAAAAUGGAUGGAAUAGUAUUUUUUUGGAGAAUGAGUGGUUGAAAAGAAAUAAAAAUUUUUUUAUUUAUGUGUAAUAUUAUUUUAUAAAAAAAAUGUGUCAUUGACAAUAGGAGGGAGAAAAAUGAAAUUUAACUUAAUGGGGGCCAAAUGGGAGUUUUAUGUAUGUUUAUCACUUUUUAAAAGAUGAUUAUCAUUUUAAUUUAUUUUUUGUCUAGGAUGGGAUAGAGAAUGUAGAAAGUGACGUACUCUUAUACAUUUUGAUUAAAAGGUCACGUAUUGUGUAAUUUAAAUUUUUGUAAUAGAACAUCUUUUGCUUAACCUUAUUAGAGCUUUUUAAUUGAUAUGUAUAUUUAACUCUCUACUUUUCUAUAUUGGACUAGUUUUAUGUCAGUGCAAUGCACGAAAAUGCGUUUAUUUUAGGGUAAUGUUAGUGCAUUUUGUGUUAAAGAUUGACAAAAGAUAUGUGCGUUGAAUGAGAUUGUGGGGGAGCAAAGGGACUAUUUCACUGAUCUAUAAGGAAGUUAGAGAAAAGAACAAAAUGUAAUUAAAUUGCAAUCAUCCAAGUUCUCACGUAUUCUCACACAAUUUUCAAUAGAAGAUUUAUACAAUAUCAUCCACCAAAAAGUAGGACGACAUGAAGUCCUCUCGCUAUAGUACUAUCAAUUAUACCUAGAUCAAUCUAUUCAAUACCUAAUAAUGUAGUCUACAAUGCAUCUUAUAUGAUGGAGAAUGAGUCAACUUAUGGCCUUUCAGAUUCUAACAUAAAUUCAAAAAAAUUAAAAAAAUGUUGAAUAGAUCUUGUGUAGCACGUAUAACUCUCGCUAGAUUUAGACUAUCAUUAACACGUCCUUCUUGAGAGAGAAACUCAACCCAUAAGGUCCAAUUAUUCAUUUAAAAAUGAUUACACCGAAGAAAAAAGCACAAAUUAUUCAAUCAACAUAUAAUCUGUGAAAAACAAACAAGAGCACUCACAAUAUUUGUUCGGCUCGACAAACACGUUUUUCAAUUAGCUUAGUGACCUCCCUCCCCCCUGCCAAACUGGUUCACUCUCAUGCAAUAUCAAAAGAGAGACACUAGUGAGUUAGACAACUGCACUAAGGAUCAUAUUCUAAACAUGUUGUAAUAGCUAAAUUUAGUGCGAUUGUACAGAAAUAAUAUACACCCUAUCCUCGAGUCAGUCAAAAACACUUUUGGAGGCUUAUAUCUCAUGCCUCAUGCAACUAAGGUGUUUGCUCAUUUGUCUAGCCUUUUAAUUUUAUGACUAGCUUUAGCCUUUUUGACUAUUUUUUACAUCUUAGAAUGUUUUAUUUCUGAUGUGAUCCAGGACACGCAAGCAUCAAAGUCAAGUCCAACGUCAAGUCCGGGAAAAGAUCCAUUGAUAGUUGACAGUGGACCGAUAAUGCGAUCGAGGAUAAAGUGAGUAAAAGAGGCAAACGGGGGCUUUAUGUAUGUUUAUCACUUUUUAAAAGAUGAUUGUCAUUUUAAUUUAUUUUUUGUCUAGGAUGGCAUAGAGAAUGUAGAAAAUGACGUACUCUUAUACGUUUUAAUUAAAAGGUCACGUAUUGUGUAAUUUAAAUUUUGUAAUAGAACAUCUUUUGCUUAAGCUUAUAAAAGCUUUUUGAUUGAUAUUUAUAUUUAACUCUCUACAUUUCUAUAUUGGACUAGUUUUAUGUCAAUGCAAUGCAAUGAAGCGUUUAUUUUAAGGUAAUGUUAGUGCAUUUUGUGUUCAAGAUUGACAAAGGAUAUGUGCGUUGAAUGAGGUUGUGGGGGAGCAAAGGGACUAUUUCACUACUCUACAAGGAAGUUAGAGAAAAGAACAAAAUGUAAUUAACUUGCAAUUACCUAAGUUCUCAAGUAUUCUCUCACAAUUUUCAAUAAAAGAUUUAUACAAUAUCAUGCUACCAAAAAGUAGGAUGACAUGAAGUCCUCUCGCUCUAGUAUUAACGAUUAUAUCUAGAUCAAUCUAUUCAAUAAUUAAUAAUGUAGUCUACAAUGAAGCUUGCAUGAUGGAGAAUCAGUCAACUUAUGGCCUUUCAAAGUCUAACAUAAAUUCAAAAAAAUUAAAAAAAUGUUGAAUAGAUCUUGUAUAGCACCUAUAACUCUCGCAAGAUCUAGACUUCCAUUAACACGUCCUUCUUGGAUAAAACAUUGGCUUAUAAAAUUUUAUCUCGAC
RNAcentral lists this long non-coding RNA (2275 nucleotides) under Olea europaea (common olive). RNAcentral's name for it is "long non-coding RNA (OEUR_LNC015425)". The record is from RNAcentral. Lineage: Eukaryota; Viridiplantae; Streptophyta; Magnoliopsida; Lamiales; Oleaceae.